UACGGAGGAUGCGAGCGUUAUCCGGAUUUAUUGGGUUUAAAGGGUGCGCAGGUUGUUUGAUAAGUCAGUGGUGAAAGUCUGUCGCUUAACGGUAGGAUUGCCAUUGAUACUGUUAGACUUGAAUAUGGAUGAGGUAGGCGGAAUGUGUAGUGUAUCGGUGAAAUGCAUAGAUAUUACACAGAACACCGAUUGCGAAGGCAGCUUACUAAUCCAUCAUUGACGCUGAGGCACGAAAGCGUGGGGAUCAAACA
RNAcentral lists this ribosomal RNA (251 nucleotides) under uncultured prokaryote. RNAcentral describes it as "partial 16S ribosomal RNA". It matches the Rfam family "Bacterial small subunit ribosomal RNA", at positions 524 to 774 of the family's 1533-position model. The record is from RNAcentral.